This 596-nucleotide ribosomal RNA is filed under the name uncultured marine eukaryote. Its description in RNAcentral is "SSU rRNA". It matches the Rfam family "Eukaryotic small subunit ribosomal RNA", at positions 1 to 598 of the family's 1831-position model. The record is from RNAcentral.
UACCUGGUUGAUGCCUGCCAGUAGUCAUAUGCGUUGUCUCAAAGAUUAAGCCAUGCAUGUCUCAGUAUAAGUCUCUAUACGGCGAAACUGCGAAUGGCUCAUUAAAACAGUUUUAGUCUAUUUGAUGGCCAAAUUUCUAUAUGGAUAACUGUGGAAAUUCUAGAGCUAAUACAUGCGAACAGACCCGACUUCGCGGAAGGGUUGUGUUUAUUAGAUACAGAACCAAUACCUUCGGGUUUUUGGAGGACUCAUAGUAAACGAACGGAGCGCGUUGGCAUGAGCCGGCGCCAGAUCAUUCGAGAUUCUGACCUAUCAGCUUUCGACGGUAGUGUAUUGGACUACCGUGGCAUUGACGGGUAACGGAGAAUUAGGGUUCGAUUCCGGAGAGGGAGCCCGAGAAACGGCUACCACAUCUAAGGAAGGCAGCAGGCGCGCAAAUUACCCAAUCCCGAUGCGGGGAGGUAGUGACAAGAAGUAACAGAGCAAGCGUCUGAGACGUUUUGCUAUUGGAAUGAGUAGAAUUUAAAUCCCUUUUCGACUAUCAAUUGGAGGGCAAGUCUGGUGCCAGCAGCCGCGGUAAUUCCAGCUCCAAUAGC